CCCGCCCGUCAAGUCACGAAAGUCGGUAAUGCCUGAAACCAGCUCCUACAAGGGAAACUUUCGCAAGAAGGUGAAGGCUGACAAGGGUAAGAUUGGCAAUUGGGGCU
This 107-nucleotide ribosomal RNA is filed under the name uncultured bacterium. RNAcentral's name for it is "partial 16S ribosomal RNA". The record is from RNAcentral.